Long non-coding RNA from Gavialis gangeticus (Gharial), 546 nucleotides. RefSeq lists it as uncharacterized. The record is from RefSeq and is a predicted model, not a curated record. Lineage: Eukaryota; Metazoa; Chordata; Crocodylia; Gavialidae. The transcript is spliced from 2 exons.
AGACAAUGUCGUGGGAGGAGGAGAGAUUAGAGCUAGCUUGUGCGCAUCCACGCUAGCACCCAGGGAACAGCCCCACGCACACGGUUCAACACAGGGAAGCCAGGACACUUUGCUCAAAAUUGACACUCCCAGAACGCAUGUCCAGGCACCCACUGCGUGUCCGCACCCACUUGCAAGAGACGAGCUCAGCCAUGGCACAAUGCUCCCUUUGCGCACCUUCACAACCCAGGCUGCAGGGAAGGGACCACAGCAAGAUGCCUGCAGAACCAACCUAUUUCCCCACAGCCAGUCUGCAAGCCUUUUGGUGUUCAACGGAAAACUGACCACCAGCGGAAGACAACUUAAAUGCCCAAACCAAGCAUCAUGUAUCAACUUCAGCUGUGCAAGCUACCGGGUAUCCCCCGACAAUAAAACCAACAUAUUCAGAAGGUCCCCAGUGAAAGGUUUGGUCACAUUUUGCUACAAAAUGGACAACUGUUGGCCUUUUGCUCUGAGGUUGAAGCCACAGCAAGCAGCUCCAAAAACAAACUUCACCGCACCACUGAG